GUACUUUCUUCGGCAGCACAUAUACUAACUAAAAUUGGAAUGAUACAGAGAAGAUUAGCAUGGGCCCUGCGCAAGGAUGACAUGCAAAUCCGUGAAGAAUUCCAUAUUUUU
This 111-nucleotide small nuclear RNA is filed under the name Octodon degus (degu). The record is from RNAcentral. Lineage: Eukaryota; Metazoa; Chordata; Mammalia; Rodentia; Octodontidae.